GAAUGACAAUUCUGAAUAAAUGC
RNAcentral lists this small nuclear RNA (23 nucleotides) under Arabidopsis thaliana (thale cress). RNAcentral's name for it is "snRNA_17857". Lineage: Eukaryota; Viridiplantae; Streptophyta; Magnoliopsida; Brassicales; Brassicaceae. The record is from RNAcentral.